CAGUAGCCGCGGUAAUACGGAGGGUGCGAGCGUUAAUCGGAAUUACUGGGCGUAAAGCGUACGCAGGCGGUUUGUUAAGUCAGAUGUGAAAUCCCCGGGCUUAACCCGGGAACUGCAUUUGAAACUGGCAGGCUAGAGUCUCGUAGAGGGGGGUAGAAUUCCAGGUGUAGCGGUGAAAUGCGUAGAGAUCUGGAGGAAUACCGGUGGCGAAGGCGGCCCCCUGGACGAAGACUGACGCUCAGGUACGAAAGCGUGGGGAGCAAACAGGAUUAGAUACCCCAGUAGUCCCUGUCUCUUAUAC
RNAcentral lists this ribosomal RNA (301 nucleotides) under uncultured bacterium. RNAcentral's name for it is "partial 16S ribosomal RNA". It matches the Rfam family "Bacterial small subunit ribosomal RNA", at positions 509 to 807 of the family's 1533-position model. The record is from RNAcentral.